RNAcentral lists this ribosomal RNA (593 nucleotides) under uncultured bacterium. Its description in RNAcentral is "bacterial SSU rRNA". It matches the Rfam family "Bacterial small subunit ribosomal RNA", at positions 897 to 1494 of the family's 1533-position model. The record is from RNAcentral.
AAACUCAAAGGAAUUGACGGGNNNCNGCACAAGCGGUGGAUGAUGUGGUUUAAUUCGACGCAACGCGAAAAACCUUACCUACCCUUGACAUGUCUGGAAUUUUGCAGAGAUGUGAAAGUGCUCGAAAGAGAACCAGAACACAGGUGCUGCAUGGCCGUCGUCAGCUCGUGUCGUGAGAUGUUGGGUUAAGUCUCGCAACGAGCGCAACCCUUGUCAUUAGUUGCUACGAAAGGGCACUCUAAUGAGACUGCCGGUGACAAACCGGAGGAAGGUGGGGAUGACGUCAGGUCAUCAUGGCCCUUAUGGGUAGGGCUACACACGUCAUACAAUGGCCGGUACAGAGGGUUGCCAACCCGCGAGGGGGAGCCAAUCCCAGAAAACCGGUCGUAGUCCGGAUCGCAGUCUGCAACUCGACUGCGUGAAGUCGGAAUCGCUAGUAAUCGCGGAUCAGCUUGCCGCGGUGAAUACGUUCCCGGGUCUUGUACACACCGCCCGUCACACCAUGGGAGCGGGUUCUGCCAGAAGUAGUUAGCCUAACCGCAAGGAGGGCGAUUACCACGGCAGGGUUCGUGACUGGGGUGAAGUCGUAACAA